This 445-nucleotide ribosomal RNA is filed under the name uncultured bacterium. Its description in RNAcentral is "bacterial SSU rRNA". It matches the Rfam family "Bacterial small subunit ribosomal RNA", at positions 93 to 518 of the family's 1533-position model. The record is from RNAcentral.
GACGGCGGCACGGGUGGAGUAACGACGUGGAGUGAUCUACCCAUGAGUUAGGAAUAACGGCUGGAAACGGUCGCUAAUACCAAAUACGCUCCGAUUUCAACUUCGGGGGAAAGGUGGCCUCUGCUUGCAAGCUACUGCUCAUGGAUGAGUCCGCGUCCCAUUAGCUAGUUGGUGGGGUAACGGCCCACCAAGGCGACGAUGGGUAGCCGGUCUGAGAGGAUGACCGGCCACACUGGGACUGGAACACGGCCCAGACUCCUACGGGAGGCAGCAGUGGGGAAUAUUGCGCAAUGGGCGAAAGCCUGACGCAGCGACGCCGCGUGAGGGAUGAAGGUCCUCGGAUCGUAAACCUCUGUCAGGAGGGAAGAACCGCCACGGUGCUAAUCAGCCGUGGUCUGACGGUACCUCCAAAGGAAGCACCGGCUAACUCCGUGCCAGCCGCUGC